GACGAACGCUGGCGGCGUGCUUAACACAUGCAAGUCGAACGGAAAGGCCUCUUUCGGGGGGUACUCGAGUGGCGAACGGGUGAGUAACACGUGAGUAACCUGCCCUUGACUUUGGGAUAACUUCAGGAAACUGGGGCUAAUACCGGAUAGGAGCUCCUGCUGCAUGGUGGGGGUUGGAAAGUUUCGGCGGUUGGGGAUGGACUCGCGGCUUAUCAGCUUUUUGUUGGGGUAGUGGCUUACCAAGGCUUUGACGGGUAGCCGGCCUGGGAGGGUGACCGGCCACAUUGGCACUGAGAGACGGCCCAGACGCCUACGGGGGGCAGCAGUGGGGAAGAUUGCACAAUGGGUGGAGGCCUGAUGCAGCAUCGCCGUGUGCGGGAUGACGGCCUUCGGGUUGUAAACCGCUUUCGCUCAUGACGAAGCUUUGUGUGACGGUAGUGGGUAAAGAAGCACCGGCUAACUACGUG
RNAcentral lists this ribosomal RNA (467 nucleotides) under uncultured bacterium. RNAcentral describes it as "partial 16S ribosomal RNA". It matches the Rfam family "Bacterial small subunit ribosomal RNA", at positions 28 to 507 of the family's 1533-position model. The record is from RNAcentral.